UGGGGAAUUUUGCGCAAUGGGCGAAAGCCUGACGCAGUAACGCCGCGUGGAGGAUGAAGGCCUUCGGGUUGUAAACUCCUGUCAGGGGGAACGACGGGGAGAGGGUGACAAAUCCUUUCCUCCAGACGGUACCUCCAAAGGAAGCCCCGGCUAAUUCCGUGCCAGCAGCCGCGGUAAUACGGAAGGGGCAAGCGUUGUUCGGAAUCAUUGGGCGUAAAGGGCGCGUAGGUGGUUCUGUAUGUCUACCGUGAAAGCAUACGGCUCAACUGUAUUUUGUCGGUAGAAACUGCAGGACUUGAGGCUGGGAGGGGCUGGUGGAAUUCCCUGUGUAGCGGUGAAAUGCGUAGAGAUGGGGGAGAACACUCGUGGCGAAGGCGGCCAGCUAGACCAGUUCUGACACUGAGGCGCGACAGCGUGGGGAGCAAACA
Molecule: ribosomal RNA, 428 nt
Filed under: uncultured bacterium
Lineage: Bacteria
Description: bacterial SSU rRNA
Rfam family: Bacterial small subunit ribosomal RNA
Source: RNAcentral